AGAGCGAACGCUGGCGGCAGGCUUAACACAUGCAAGUCGAGCGGGCGUAGCAAUACGUCAGCGGCAGACGGGUGAGUAACGCGUGGGAACGUACCUUUUGGUUCGGAACAACACAGGGAAACUUGUGCUAAUACCGGAUAAGCCCUUACGGGGAAAGAUUUAUCGCCAAAAGAUCGGCCCGCGUCUGAUUAGCUAGUUGGUGAGGUAACGGCUCACCAAGGCGACGAUCAGUAGCUGGUCUGAGAGGAUGAUCAGCCACAUUGGGACUGAGACACGGCCCAAACUCCUACGGGAGGCAGCAGUGGGGAAUAUUGGACAAUGGGCGCAAGCCUGAUCCAGCCAUGCCGCGUGAGUGAUGAAGGCCCUAGGGUUGUAAAGCUCUUUUGUGCGGGAAGAUAAUGACGGUACCGCAAAGAAUAAGCCCCGGCUAACGUUCGUGCCAGCAGCCGC
This 450-nucleotide ribosomal RNA is filed under the name uncultured bacterium. RNAcentral's name for it is "SSU rRNA". It matches the Rfam family "Bacterial small subunit ribosomal RNA", at positions 26 to 518 of the family's 1533-position model. The record is from RNAcentral.